ACUUGAGUGCAGAAGAGGACAGUGGAACUCCAUGUGUAGCGGUGAAAUGCGUAGAUAUAUGGAAGAACACCAGUGGCGAAGGCGGCUGUUUGGUCUGUAACUGACGGUGAGGCUCGAAAGCAUGGGUAGCGAACAGGAUUAGAUACCCUGGUAGUCCAUGCCGUAAACGAUGAUUACUAAGUGUUGGAGGGUUUCCGCCCUUCAGUGCUGCAGCUAACGCAUUAAGUAAUCCGCCUGGGGAGUACGACCGCAAGGUUGAAACUCAAAAAGAAUUGACGGGGGCCCGCACAAGCGGUGGAGCAUGUGGUUUAAUUCGAAGCUACGCGAAGAACCUUACCAGGUCUUGACAUCUUCUGCCAACCUAAGAGAUUAGGCGUUCCCUUCGGGGACAGAAUGACAGGUGGUGCAUGGUUGUCGUCAGCUCGUGUCGUGAGAUGUUGGGUUAAGUCCCGCAACGAGCGCAACCCUUAUUACUAGUUGCCAGCAUUCAGUUGGGCACUCUAGUGAGACUGCCGGUGACAAACCGGAGGAAGGUGGGGACGACGUCAAAUCAUCAUGCCCCCUUAUGACCUGGGCUACACACGUGCUACAAUGGAUGGUACAACGAGUCGCGAAACCGCGAGGUUUAGCUAAUCUCUUAAAACCAUUCUCAGUUCGGACUGUAGGCUGCAACUCGCCUACACGAAGUCGGAAUCGCUAGUAAUCGCGGAUCAGCAUGCCGCGGUGAAUACGUUCCCGGGCCUUGUACACACCGCCCGUCACACCAUGAGAGUUUGUAACACCCAAAGCCGGUGGGGUAACCUCUAGGAGCUAGCCGUCUA
This 821-nucleotide ribosomal RNA is filed under the name Pediococcus pentosaceus. RNAcentral describes it as "bacterial SSU rRNA". It matches the Rfam family "Bacterial small subunit ribosomal RNA", at positions 640 to 1459 of the family's 1533-position model. Lineage: Bacteria; Bacillati; Bacillota; Bacilli; Lactobacillales; Lactobacillaceae. The record is from RNAcentral.